AGUGAACGCUGGCGGCGUGCUUAACACAUGCAAGUCGAACGAGAAACGGAUUUAGCUUGCUAAAUUGCAGUCUAAGUGGCGCACGGGUGAGUAAUGUAUAGGUAAUAUGCCUCUUACUAAGGGAUAACAAUUGGAAACGAUUGCUAAUACCUUAUAUGCCUUUAAUACGAAAGAAUGCAAGGGAAAGAUUUAUUGGUAAGAGAUUAGCCUGUAUGGUAUCAGCUUGUUGGUGAGGUAAUGGCUCACCAAGGCUAUGACGCCUAACUGGUUUGAGAGGAUGAUCAGUCACACUGGAACUGAGACACGGUCCAGACUCCUACGGGAGGCAGCAGUGGGGAAUAUUGCACAAUGGACGAAAGUCUGAUGCAGCAACGCCGCGUGGAGGAUGACACAUUUCGGUGCGUAAACUCCUUUUAUAUAGGGAGAUAAUGACGGUACUAUAUGAAUAAGCACCGGCUAACUCCGUGCCAGCAGCCGCCGUAA
This 483-nucleotide ribosomal RNA is filed under the name uncultured bacterium. RNAcentral's name for it is "partial 16S ribosomal RNA". It matches the Rfam family "Bacterial small subunit ribosomal RNA", at positions 29 to 523 of the family's 1533-position model. The record is from RNAcentral.